RNAcentral lists this long non-coding RNA (304 nucleotides) under Carica papaya (papaya). Its description in RNAcentral is "long non-coding RNA (CPAP_LNC010948)". The record is from RNAcentral. Lineage: Eukaryota; Viridiplantae; Streptophyta; Magnoliopsida; Brassicales; Caricaceae.
UAUAUGGGACAUUCACGCAUAAAGCAAACAAGUUGCCAUCUACAUGGGUGAAGCAUUCAAAUAGCAAGUCAUGUGCAAGAAGGAUUCCUUUAAAGACCACAAACUCUCAGAAUUUAGAAGGUAUACCCAAAGAAGACUCCUAACACACGAAGGAUCCAUGGAAGAGAAGUUUUCAAGCCACACAUGUGAGGGAGAUGGAAUCUGAGGAGGAAUCCUCAAUCUUAUCCCUUUUCAUGUGUUCCGUAUGAUGAAAACUCAAGAAGACUUCAACUCAAAUGUGGAAUCCAAGUGGAUAAGAUCACAU